UGGGGAAUAUUGGGCAAUGGGGGAAACCCUGACCCAGCAACGCCGCGUGAAGGAAGAAGGUCUUCGGAUUGUAAACUUCUUUGAUCAGGGACGAAGAAAUGACUGUACCUGAAGAACAAGUCACGGCUAACUACGUGCCAGCAGCCGCGGUAAUACGUAGGUGGCAAGCGUUAUCCGGAUUUACUGGGUGUAAAGGGCGUGUAGGCGGGUCUGCAAGUCAGAUGUGAAAUCUCCGGGCUUAACUCGGAAGGGUCAUCUGAAACUACGGAUCUUGAGUACUGGAGAGGAUAGUGGAAUUCCUAGUGUAGCGGUAAAAUGCGUAGAUAUUAGGAGGAACACCAGUGGCGAAGGCGGCUAUCUGGACAGUAACUGACGCUGAGGCGCGAAAGCGUGGGGAGCAAACAGG
This 406-nucleotide ribosomal RNA is filed under the name uncultured prokaryote. Its description in RNAcentral is "bacterial SSU rRNA". It matches the Rfam family "Bacterial small subunit ribosomal RNA", at positions 355 to 776 of the family's 1533-position model. The record is from RNAcentral. RNAcentral also lists the same sequence under 1 other name.